GUGUUUAUCCUCCACUCCCCGCGAUUCCCCCAACCAACCCCAUCGCCGCCGCCGACGACCUUCUCUCCCCCAACCCCACCGCCGGCGCCCCCCACCUCACCAGCAGCCAUUGCCAUGGACAGAGCUGCUGCCUCUCUCGGCGCCCGAAGCCCUAGCUCAGGCCGCCGCGACCCACCCGUUGCGUCCCACGUUCACGCGCGAGAUUCCGACCCAUGGCGAUGCUCGAUCCAGGUAGGCCCGAGGAAGGAGAGCAGUUGGCUCCCUUCCUCCUCUCAGGUGAGCCUGAGCGAGCACCCCUCCCCCCGUGACCACAAAUCCACCCCCAGUUCCUCCAUCCUCCCUCCAGUCUUCGACGCUGUCGCCGCCCAGCCAUGGAGUACCACCGCAACACCUGGUAUGGCGCACCACGGCCACCCAUCGCCGGUGACCUCCCACAGCUCUGACCCUGGCUGCCUCCUAGCACACUGCCGCUUCACCAGCCUCCCCCUCCCCACCUCCUCCGCACCGCCGCUGGACUAGCGUGUCGCGUUGCCCUCAGAUCUAGCUUCCAGGAGCUGCCACGGUUGUUCAGCAGGUAGCAGUGCGUGCAUCAUUGGUCGUGUGUGCAGUCCGCAUCCCUUUCGCAUGCCUGCACUACGGUUCCCUGGUGUAGUUCAAUGUUUGGCUCUGCCUCCCCCUGUUUGCAGCUCCUUUCAAUUAUUUUGCAGCUCACUGGAUAUAUUUUUGCAGUUCAUUGUGAGAAUCCAUGGCGCUGGUCGCGCCGCACCUUUUCCUGCUUCUUCUCGUCUGAGGCGAGCACCAGCGGUACGUAUCAGCCCUCUUCUCUAUGGUGCUGGCUAGAUUAACAUAUUCAAGUCAAGAUGGUUAGGUUUGGGAAAAAGUUGACGGCCGGCCAAGUUCCAAAGUGGAGAGGGUACGAUUCAGUUACUAUAUAAACUACAAGCUGAUGAAGAAGAAAGUAAAACAAUAUGGGCAGCAGCUCCAACAGGGAGAGAAAGACCGUUGCCGUGUUCUCAAGCAUUUCUCAAAGAUGCUUGAUGAUCAGGUAGAAGAUAGCAACAGAGUGGGAAGGUUUGUGUAGAGAUCUUACCUCGAGGUUAUCACAGAUGCGCAUAAUAUGACACUGAAUUGGCCAAAAAUAGGGGGCUACAAGAUGAACUUUUAAAGGUUAAGACCUCACUGUCUGCUUCAACGAAGAGAUUUGAAGAGUUGCAAAAGGUAAUUUUGGGGCAAAUUUCCAUUGCUGCAGGAUAAUGAGAUGUUGAAGCGGCAGACUGAAUCCAUGACACCGAAGUGCAAUUGCGGCAGAUUAUCUCUAUUUUUCCUUUUCAUUUUUCUUAUUAUUGGAGUGAUAACAGGUAGAAUGAGGAACUGUGUGAUAGUAGAUACAACAACUGUAGUAGAAAGAAACUUAUGUUUGCAAUUGUUAAUGACAUACAUACUUGCAUGUUCUUUGAAGUGGUCAAUCGUGAGUACCAAUGCAUAAUGAUGGGGUUUUGGCUCAUUUAUUGGCUUUGGUGUCCAGUUAACCAUGAAAUAGGAGUCCAUGUCAAUUAUGUAUGCUC
This is a long non-coding RNA of Triticum dicoccoides, 1565 nucleotides long. RefSeq lists it as uncharacterized. The transcript has 5 exons. The record is from RefSeq and is a predicted model, not a curated record. NCBI's taxonomy places the organism in Eukaryota, Viridiplantae, Streptophyta, Magnoliopsida, Poales, Poaceae.